This 231-nucleotide ribosomal RNA is filed under the name uncultured bacterium. RNAcentral describes it as "partial 16S ribosomal RNA". It matches the Rfam family "Bacterial small subunit ribosomal RNA", at positions 99 to 334 of the family's 1533-position model. The record is from RNAcentral.
CGGACGGGUGAGUAAUGUCUGGGAAACUGCCUGAUGGAGGGGGAUAACUACUGGAAACGGUAGCUAAUACCGCAUAACGUCGCAAGACCAAAGAGGGGGACCUUCGGGCCUCUUGCCAUCGAUGUGCCCAGAUGGGAUUAGCUAGUAGGUGGGGUAACGGCUCACCUAGGCGACGAUCCCUAGCUGGUCUGAGAGGAUGACCAGCCACACUGGAACUGAGACACGGUCCAG